GUAUGAUAUUUAAUUAUAUUUUUGAAUAGUAAAAAUAAUUUUUAUUUAAUUUAGUUUAGUAAAAUUUUAUAAUAAAAUAAUUUUAAUAAUAGUUUAAUUGUAUUGAAAAAGAAUGUUGAAAUAAUUUAAAAAGUUAUUAAAUUUAAAGAAUUAUUAAAUUUAAGUAUCUUGUGUAUCAGAGUUUAUUAAAAAAUAAAUAUUAAUUAGUAUUUUUCUCGAAAUUUAAAGAUUUAAUAAUUUAUUUUAGUUAAUGUUUUAUAAUUAUUAAUAAUAAAUUAUUUGAAAUGAAAUGUUAUUCGUUUUAAUUGAUAUCUAGUUUUAUAAGAAAUAAAUUUAAUUUAUUUAUAUUAAUAUUAAUUUUUUAUUUAAUUUAAUUAAUUAAUAUAAUAUAAGAAUAUUUUUUGGGAUAAGCUAAAAAAUAGAUAUUUAAAAAUGAAGUUAUUAAAUUUAUAAAUAUAGGUUUAGAAAUUGAAAUUAUUAAAAAAUUUGUUAUAAUUUAUAAAAUUAAAAAUUUAAUUAUUUAUUAAAGUUUUAAGUAUUUAUUAUAAUAUUAAUUUAAAUUUUUAAAGUUAAGUAAUAAUGAUAAAAUUAGUAUAAUUAAAUUAUUUUAUAUUUAUAAUUUUAUAAAAAUUUUUGAUUUAGGAAUUCGGCAAAAUUAAUAUGUUUGCCUGUUUAUCAAAAACAUGUCUUUUUGUGUUUAAUUUAAAGUCUGGCCUGCCCAUUGAUUUUUUUUUUAAAAGGCCGCAGUAUUUUGACUGUGCAAAGGUAGCAUAAUCAUUAGUUUUUUAAUUGAAAACUAGAAUGAAUGGUUAGACAAAAUAUAUACUGUCUUAAUGAAAUAAAUUGAAUUUUAUUUUUUAGUUAAAAAGCUAAAAUAUUUUUAAAGGACGAGAAGACCCUAUAGAGUUUUAUAAAUAUUUAUUUAUUAUUAAUUUUUUUUUAUAUUAAUUUUAGAUUUUUAUUUUUAGAUAAUAAUUUAUUUAAUUGGGGUGAUUGUAAAAAUUAAGUAUCUUUUACACAUGUUAAUAACAUUAAUUUAUGAAUUUUUUUUUGAUCCAUUUAUAAUGAUUAAUAGAAAAAGUUACCUUAGGGAUAACAGCGUAAUAUUUUUUUAGAGUUCUUAUCGUCAAAAAAGAUUGCGACCUCGAUGUUGGAUUAAGAAAAAUUUUAAAUGUAGAAGUUUAAAUAUUUAAGUCUGUUCGACUUUUAAAUUCUUACAUGAUCUGAGUUCAAACCGGUUUAAGCCAGGUUGGUUUCUAUCCUUAAUAAAUUAUAUUAUUUUAGUACGAAAGGACCAAAUAAUAGAUAUAUUAAUAUUUAAAAUUUGAAUAAAAUUAAUUUAUUUUACUAUUUUUAAG
This 1358-nucleotide ribosomal RNA is filed under the name Dilophus febrilis. Its description in RNAcentral is "16S ribosomal RNA". The record is from RNAcentral. Lineage: Eukaryota; Metazoa; Arthropoda; Insecta; Diptera; Bibionidae.